GAUGAAGAACGUAGCGAAAUGCGAUAAGUAAUGUGAAUUGCAGAAUUCAGUGAAUCAUCGAAUCUUUGAACGCACCUUGCACCCUUUGGCAUUCCGAAGGGUAUGCUCGUUUGAGUGUCAUUGUACUCUCACUCUCCCGAUGCUUUUGGAUCGGGAGUGGUGGACUUGGGUGUUGCUGCUUUGCUGUGGCUCGCCUCAAAUGGAGUAGUGCAACUCUUGGUUGGACAUAGUACGGCGUGAUAAGUGUCUUCGCCGGCGCCUCAUUAUAGAGGGUGGCCGAUCGGGAGCUCUGUGCUUCAAACCGUCUUCGGACAACAUCUGACAACUUGACCUCAAAUCGAGUAGGACUACCCGCUGAACUUAAGCAUAUCAAUAAGGAGGA
Molecule: unclassified non-coding RNA, 382 nt
Filed under: soil metagenome
Description: partial contains 5.8S ribosomal RNA, internal transcribed spacer 2, and large subunit ribosomal RNA
Rfam family: 5.8S ribosomal RNA (bases 1-120)
Source: RNAcentral